RNAcentral lists this transfer RNA (75 nucleotides) under Candidatus Yanofskybacteria bacterium RIFCSPHIGHO2_01_FULL_43_42. RNAcentral's name for it is "tRNA-Lys". It matches the Rfam family "tRNA". From Rfam's summary of the family: Transfer RNA (tRNA) molecules are approximately 80 nucleotides in length. The record is from RNAcentral. RNAcentral also lists the same sequence under 2 other names. Lineage: Bacteria; Candidatus Yanofskyibacteriota.
GGGCCGUUAGCUCAGUGGUAGAGCAACCGCCUUUUAAGCGGUUGGUCGCUGGUUCGAUCCCAGCACGGCCCACCA